AUGGCUAGGUGGAAGGUGGACACAAUGGCUUUAAUCUUGUUGAGGAGUGGUCUUCCCAGAAUUGCGUUAUAGGCCAUUGAGACACGUACCACUUGAAAAGAUGUCAUCUCCGUAACCUGCUUCUGGCCAGAACCCAAAGUUAGUGGAAGCUCGACGACACCCUCUGGAGUGAUGACUCCUCCCCCAAACCCCUGAAGAGGAGUUUUAACCGCUUUGAG
RNAcentral lists this long non-coding RNA (218 nucleotides) under Olea europaea (common olive). RNAcentral's name for it is "long non-coding RNA (OEUR_LNC003399)". Lineage: Eukaryota; Viridiplantae; Streptophyta; Magnoliopsida; Lamiales; Oleaceae. The record is from RNAcentral.